CCAUCGAGUCUUUGAACGCAAGUUGCGCCCGAAGCCAUUAGGUCGAGGGCACGCCUGCCUGGGUGUCACA
RNAcentral lists this ribosomal RNA (70 nucleotides) under Apios americana. RNAcentral describes it as "partial 5.8S ribosomal RNA". The record is from RNAcentral. Lineage: Eukaryota; Viridiplantae; Streptophyta; Magnoliopsida; Fabales; Fabaceae.